This 2750-nucleotide ribosomal RNA is filed under the name Staphylococcus capitis. RNAcentral's name for it is "partial 23S ribosomal RNA". It matches the Rfam family "Bacterial large subunit ribosomal RNA". The record is from RNAcentral. Lineage: Bacteria; Bacillati; Bacillota; Bacilli; Caryophanales; Staphylococcaceae.
CGGAGAAGGCAGACCCGGAGAACUGAAACAUCUUAGUACCCGGAGGAAGAGAAAGAAAAAUCGAUUCCCUGAGUAGCGGCGAGCGAAACGGGAAGAGCCCAAACCAACAAGCUUGCUUGUUGGGGUUGUAGGACACUCUAUACGGAGUUACAAAAGAACAUGUUAGACGAAUCAUCUGGAAAGAUGAAUCAAAGAAGGUAAUAAUCCUGUAGUCGAAAACAUAUUCUCUCUUGAGUGGAUCCUGAGUACGACGGAGCACGUGAAAUUCCGUCGGAAUCUAGGAGGACCAUCUCCUAAGGCUAAAUACUCUCUAGUGACCGAUAGUGAACCAGUACCGUGAGGGAAAGGUGAAAAGUACCCCGGAAGGGGAGUGAAAGAGAACUUGAAACCGUGUGCUUACAAGUAGUCAGAGCCCGUUUAUGGGUGAUGGCGUGCCUUUUGUAGAAUGAACCGGCGAGUUACGAUCUGAUGCAAGGUUAAGCAGCGAAUGUGGAGCCGUAGCGAAAGCGAGUCUGAAUAGGGCGUUGAGUAUUUGGUCGUAGACCCGAAACCAGGUGAUCUACCCUUGGUCAGGUUGAAGUUCAGGUAACACUGAAUGGAGGACCGAACCGACUUACGUUGAAAAGUGAGCGGAUGAACUGAGGGUAGCGGAGAAAUUCCAAUCGAACUUGGAGAUAGCUGGUUCUCUCCGAAAUAGCUUUAGGGCUAGCCUCAAGUGAUGAUUAUUGGAGGUAGAGCACUGUUUGGACGAGGGGCCCCUCUCGGGUUACCGAAUUCAGACAAACUCCGAAUGCCAAUCAAUUUAACUUGGGAGUCAGAACAUGGGUGAUAAGGUCCGUGUUCGAAAGGGAAACAGCCCAGACCACCAGCUAAGGUCCCAAAAUAUAUGUUAAGUGGAAAAGGAUGUGGCGUUGCCCAGACAACUAGGAUGUUGGCUUAGAAGCAGCCAUCAUUUAAAGAGUGCGUAAUAGCUCACUAGUCGAGUGACACUGCGCCGAAAAUGUACCGGGGCUAAACAUAUUACCGAAGCUGUGGAUUGUCCUUCGGACAAUGGUAGGAGAGCGUUCUAAGGGCGUUGAAGCAUGAUCGCAAGGACAUGUGGAGCGCUUAGAAGUGAGAAUGCCGGUGUGAGUAGCGAAAGACGGGUGAGAAUCCCGUCCACCGAUUGACUAAGGUUUCCAGAGGAAGGCUCGUCCGCUCUGGGUUAGUCGGGUCCUAAGCUGAGGCCGACAGGCGUAGGCGAUGGAUAACAGGUUGAUAUUCCUGUACCACCUAGUAUCGUUUUAAUCGAUGGGGGGACGCAGUAGGAUAGGCGAAGCGUGCUGUUGGAGUGCACGUCCAAGCAGUAAGGCUGAGUGUUAGGCAAAUCCGGCACUCGUUAGGCUGAGCUGUGAUGGGGAGAGGAAAUUGUUUCCUUGAGUCGUUGAUUUCACACUGCCGAGAAAAGCCUCUAGAUAGAUAACAGGUGCCCGUACCGCAAACCGACACAGGUAGUCAAGAUGAGAAUUCUAAGGUGAGCGAGCGAACUCUCGUUAAGGAACUCGGCAAAAUGACCCCGUAACUUCGGGAGAAGGGGUGCUCUUUAGGGUUCACGCCCAGAAGAGCCGCAGUGAAUAGGCCCAAGCGACUGUUUAUCAAAAACACAGGUCUCUGCUAAACCGUAAGGUGAUGUAUAGGGGCUGACGCCUGCCCGGUGCUGGAAGGUUAAGAGGAGUGGUUAGCUUCUGCGAAGCCACGAAUCGAAGCCCCAGUAAACGGCGGCCGUAACUAUAACGGUCCUAAGGUAGCGAAAUUCCUUGUCGGGUAAGUUCCGACCCGCACGAAAGGCGUAACGAUUUGGGCACUGUCUCAACGAGAGACUCGGUGAAAUCAUAGUACCUGUGAAGAUGCAGGUUACCCGCGACAGGACGGAAAGACCCCGUGGAGCUUUACUGUAGCCUGAUAUUGAAAUUCGGCACAGCUUGUACAGGAUAGGUAGGAGCCAUUGAAACGUGAGCGCUAGCUUACGUGGAGGCGUUGGUGGGAUACUACCCUAGCUGUGUUGGCUUUCUAACCCGCACCACUUAUCGUGGUGGGAGACAGUGUCAGGCGGGCAGUUUGACUGGGGCGGUCGCCUCCUAAAAGGUAACGGAGGCGCUCAAAGGUUCCCUCAGAAUGGUUGGAAAUCAUUCACAGAGUGUAAAGGCAUAAGGGAGCUUGACUGCGAGACCUACAAGUCGAGCAGGGUCGAAAGACGGACUUAGUGAUCCGGUGGUUCCGCAUGGAAGGGCCAUCGCUCAACGGAUAAAAGCUACCCCGGGGAUAACAGGCUUAUCUCCCCCAAGAGUUCACAUCGACGGGGAGGUUUGGCACCUCGAUGUCGGCUCAUCGCAUCCUGGGGCUGUAGUCGGUCCCAAGGGUUGGGCUGUUCGCCCAUUAAAGCGGUACGCGAGCUGGGUUCAGAACGUCGUGAGACAGUUCGGUCCCUAUCCGUCGUGGGCGUAGGAAAUUUGAGAGGAGCUGUCCUUAGUACGAGAGGACCGGGAUGGACAUACCUCUGGUGUACCAGUUGUCGUGCCAACGGCAUAGCUGGGUAGCUAUGUAUGGACGGGAUAAGUGCUGAAAGCAUCUAAGCAUGAAGCCCCCCUCAAGAUGAGAUUUCCCAACUUCGGUUAUAAGAUCCCUCGAAGAUGACGAGGUUAAUAGGUUCGAGGUGGAAGCGUGGUGACACGUGGAGCUGACGAAUACUAAUCGAUCGAAGACUUAAUCAA